RNAcentral lists this ribosomal RNA (486 nucleotides) under uncultured bacterium. RNAcentral describes it as "partial 16S ribosomal RNA". It matches the Rfam family "Bacterial small subunit ribosomal RNA", at positions 28 to 507 of the family's 1533-position model. The record is from RNAcentral.
GAUGAACGCUGGCGGCGUGCCUAAAACAUGCAAGUCGAACGCUGGAAAUCUAGCUUGCUAGAUUGAAGGAGUGGCGAACGGGUGAGUAAUACAUAAGCAACCUACCCACGAAGACUGGGAUAAUCUCUGGAAACGGGGACUAAUACCGGAUAGGUAAUCGGAAGGCAUCUUCUGAUUAUUAAAGGUUAAAAACACUGGUGGAUGGGCUUAUGGCGCAUUAGUUAGUUGGUGAGGUAACGGCCCACCAAGACGAUGAUGCGUAGCCGGCCUGAGAGGGUGAACGGCCACAUUGGGACUGAGACACGGCCCAGACUCCUACGGGAGGCAGCAGUAGGGAAUUUUCGGCAAUGGGGGAAACCCUGACCGAGCAACGCCGCGUGAGUGAUGACGGCCUUCGGGUUGUAAAGCUCUGUUGUAAGGGAAGAACGGUAGAUAGAGAAUAUCUAAAUGACGGUACCUUACCAGAAAGCCACGGCUAACUACGUG